This 458-nucleotide ribosomal RNA is filed under the name uncultured bacterium. RNAcentral describes it as "partial 16S ribosomal RNA". It matches the Rfam family "Bacterial small subunit ribosomal RNA", at positions 338 to 795 of the family's 1533-position model. The record is from RNAcentral.
CCUACGGUGGGCAGCAGUGAGGAAUAUUGGUCAAUGGGCGAGAGCCUGAACCAGCCAAGUCGCGUGAGGGAGUACUGCCCUAUGGGUUGUAAACCUCUUUUGUCGGGGCGCAAAAGCCGGACGUGUCCGGCUGUGAGAGUACCCGAAGAAAAAGCAUCGGCUAACUCCGUGCCAGCAGCCGCGGUAAUACGGAGGAUGCGAGCGUUAUCCGGAUUUAUUGGGGUUAAAGGGUGCGCAGGCGGAUUUUUAAGUCAGCGGUCAAAUCGUGGGGCUCAACCCCAUCCAGCCGUUGAAACUGGGGAUCUUGAGUGUGCGAGAGGUAUGCGGAAUGCGUGGUGUAGCGGUGAAAUGCAUAGAGAUCACGCAGAACCCCGAUUGCGAAGGCAGAAUACCGGUGCACAACUGACGCUCAGGCACGAAAGCGUGGGUAUCGAACAGGAUUAGAUACCCGGGUAGUC